GUCUUCGUAGCUCAGUUGGUAGAGCAGCUGACUCUUAAUCAGCGGGCCGCAGGUUCGAAUCCUGCCGGGGACA
RNAcentral lists this transfer RNA (73 nucleotides) under Bacteroidota bacterium. RNAcentral describes it as "Bacteroidetes bacterium (activated sludge metagenome) tRNA-Lys". It matches the Rfam family "tRNA". From Rfam's summary of the family: Transfer RNA (tRNA) molecules are approximately 80 nucleotides in length. Their secondary structure includes four short double-helical elements and three loops (D, anti-codon, and T loops). The record is from RNAcentral. Lineage: Bacteria; Pseudomonadati; Bacteroidota. RNAcentral also lists the same sequence under 1 other name.